UACGGGGGGUGCUAGCGUUGUUCGGAAUCAUUGGGCGUAAAGAGCGUGUAGGCGGCUGGAUAAGUCAGAUGUGAAAGCCCUGGGCUUAACCCAGGAAGUGCAUUUGAAACUGUUCAGCUUGAGUAAGGGAGAGGAAAGUGGAAUUCCUGGUGUAGAGGUGAAAUUCGUAGAUAUCAGGAGGAACACCGGUGGCGAAGGCGACUUUCUGGCCCUAUACUGACGCUGAGACGCGAGAGCGUGGGUAGCAAACAGGAUUAGAUACCCUGGUAGUCCACGCUGUAAACGAUGUUCACUAGGUGUUGGGGGUAUUGACCCUCUCAGUGCCGCAGCUAACGCAUUAAGUGAACCGCCUGGGGAGUACGGUCGCAAGAUUAAA
This 376-nucleotide ribosomal RNA is filed under the name uncultured bacterium. RNAcentral's name for it is "bacterial SSU rRNA". It matches the Rfam family "Bacterial small subunit ribosomal RNA", at positions 524 to 898 of the family's 1533-position model. The record is from RNAcentral.